This 253-nucleotide ribosomal RNA is filed under the name uncultured bacterium. Its description in RNAcentral is "partial 16S ribosomal RNA". It matches the Rfam family "Bacterial small subunit ribosomal RNA", at positions 524 to 776 of the family's 1533-position model. The record is from RNAcentral.
UACGUAGGGUCCAAGCGUUAUCCGGAAUCACUGGGCGUAAAGCGUGCGUAGGUGGCGUGUUAAGUGUGAUGUUAAAUCGUGGGGCUCAACCCUGUCGGUGCAUCACAUACUGGCAUGCUAGAGGACAGCAGAGGCAAGUGGAAUUGGUAGUGUAGCAGUGAAAUGCGUAGAUAUCACCAGGAACACCAAUGGCGAAGGCAGCUUGCUGGGCUACUCCUGACACUGAGGUACGAAAGCGUGGGGAGCGAACAGG